UUACACGUUUGUGCCUAUGUAAGUAAGAAAUUUACAUUAAUAAAAUGUUGAGGUUUCUGUGCCCUCAUUGCUAUUAAUAACUGACAGAUGGGUAGCUCCUCCUUCUCUUCUUUAACUGGCAGGUCAGCAACAAGUGAAAAUGUUCAGUUUUGUGUCCCUCAGAGCAGCCAUGCCAUUUUCCCCUCUUUUGUUGCCCCAGGUUUCCAGCCUCACUUGAAGAGCAAAGCAACAGAACCAGACAUCACUCACUGACUUGACAGUACAGAUUUUUAAAGCUUUUCUUCUUCCCAGAAUUAUAUUUCAACUCUUGAAAAAUGAGUACCAUUGUAAGGUGGAUUUCCCUAAGGACCUGCAGGUGCAUGGAGGGGUUUCUUCUUCUACACUGCUUUUGGCUACAAAUGAAGUCUCAAGAUUCCUCCUUCCCUGCUAGCCCACAUAGUCUAAGAAAUGCGGUGAGCCCAAGACAAAUCUUUCCUUGAAAUAGAACCUUGAGAUUCAGGCCCACUGGCAACAGGAGAAGAAACUGGAUUUAGCAGGGAUUAAUUUCCAGACCCCUCCCUUUCCAUCAGCUUCAGAUUAGGAUGCAGAAUCCCUCACUUUGCAAAGCAAUGGGGACAAAUCAUAGAUGUCAGAUGGAUUCUUCCAGUGCUCUUCAUUGGGCAUUACCCAUUUACAAGAAUCUCCACUCAUAAGGAAGUCUACCAACCCCGAAGAGCUAGAAGAAUUGGAGAGUAGGGAGAACAGUGGUGCUGUCAUUUUAUUUUAUUAAAGGCACUGUAGACCUCUACCCAAAGAGAACAUUUUAAGGAAAUAGUUCUUGCCAAAAGUUCCAGGAGCAUACACCUUGUGCUCAGUCUCAGCUGAAUACUUGUUUGUAUGGUAGGUCCAGAUUUUCCGAAUUUUGAUUUUUAAUUAAAUU
This is a long non-coding RNA of Dermochelys coriacea (leatherback sea turtle), 919 nucleotides long. RefSeq lists it as uncharacterized. NCBI's taxonomy places the organism in Eukaryota, Metazoa, Chordata, Testudines, Dermochelyidae. The record is from RefSeq and is a predicted model, not a curated record. The transcript is spliced from 2 exons.